GGUCGCGUCGGGCGGGCGGCGUCGGGCGGGCGAUCUUGACGAGAUCACGAACCAGCGAUCCAUAUAUACUCACUCCCUCUUCCUCCACCCGCUUGUCUACAUCCAACCUCGAUUCGGUCUCGGUCUCUCCCCACGAGACCGGAUAAUUCCUAGAGUACUACCUCGCGAUCCCCUCCCUCACUCCGCCAAAGCUUUGCUCCGCCGAGACGAGAGAAGAAGGGAGUUAUCGAUUCGGUUCUGGUUCGAUUCGAUCGGCGAUGGGGAACGCGUCGGCGAUGCUGACGCAGUACGACAUCGAGGAGGUGCAGGAGCACUGCAGCUACCUAUUCUCGCAGCAGGAGAUCGUGGCGCUGUACGAGCGCUUCUGCCAGCUCGACCGCAGCGCCAAGGGCUUCGUCUCCGAGGACGAGUUCCUCUCCAUCCCGGAGUUCUCCACCAACCCGCUCUCCCAGAGGUUGCUACGCAUGGUUGAUGGAUUGAACUUUAAGGACUUUGUUUCAUUUCUCUCUACAUUCAGCGCAAGGGCCAGCCUUCAGCAAAAGAUCGAGUUGAUAUUUAAGGUGUAUGACAUUGAUGGCAAGGGGAAAGUAACCUUCAAGGACCUGGUAGAGGUUUUACGGGAUCUAACAGGGUCAUCCAUGUCAGAGAAACAAAGAGAGGUUUUCAUUUCGUGCAAUCCUGGAUUUGACUGCAUAGUACAUUAACUUGCAACUGCACUAUUAAAAAAAAUGGGAGCGAUUCCUUAUCAUCUGAAGUAUUAACAAAGGUAUUGGAAGAAGCUGGGUACACGAAGGAUUCCACGUUAUCAUUGGAAGAUUUCAUGACGAUCAUCGACCACCCUGGACUGAAAAUGGAGGUGGAAGUACCAAUCGACUAAUGAACGGUGGAGUCAUAUCUGCAAAGCUCUCCGUGGCUUUGUCAACUGUCCAUAAACCCACCGAGCGUGCGACAAAAGGGAGUGUGUAGGCGCUCUGUCGCCUUUCUUGUGUAUUAGAUCUCACAAGUUUUUUUUUCUUCCGGAAAGGAGGGUAGGCCCCCGGAUAAAUCUCACUAGUUUAUUACGGAGCACAAUGCAGUGUCGGUGUAGUUCUUUGUUUUUGUUUUGAAGGAAAUGCGGUGUCAAUGUAGUGUAGUGUGUGUGAACCUUGUUACAGUUUCCAUACUUCGAACAUCUUGAAACCACGACUUGUGAUGGAAUCUCACGUGAGCUGACAUA
Molecule: RNA transcript, 1216 nt
Organism: Brachypodium distachyon (stiff brome)
Lineage: Eukaryota; Viridiplantae; Streptophyta; Magnoliopsida; Poales; Poaceae
Gene name: calcineurin subunit B
Exons: 6
Source: RefSeq, a predicted model, not a curated record